UACGGAGGGUGCAAGCGUUACUCGGAAUUACUGGGCGUAAAGCGCGCGUAGGCGGCUUGAUAAGCCGGUUGUGAAAGCCCCGGGCUCAACCUGGGAACGGCAUACGGAACUGUUUAGCUAGAGUGCAGGAGAGGAAGGUAGAAUUCCCGGUGUAGCGGUGAAAUGCGUAGAGAUCGGGAGGAAGACCUGUGGCGAAGGCGGCCUUCUGGACUGACACUGACGCUGUGGUGCGAAAGCGUGGGUAGCAAACAGG
This 253-nucleotide unclassified non-coding RNA is filed under the name uncultured Halomonadaceae bacterium. Its description in RNAcentral is "contains 16S-23S intergenic spacer region". It matches the Rfam family "Bacterial small subunit ribosomal RNA", at positions 524 to 776 of the family's 1533-position model. The record is from RNAcentral. Lineage: Bacteria; Pseudomonadati; Pseudomonadota; Gammaproteobacteria; Oceanospirillales; Halomonadaceae.